Molecule: long non-coding RNA, 9625 nt
Filed under: Citrus sinensis (sweet orange)
Lineage: Eukaryota; Viridiplantae; Streptophyta; Magnoliopsida; Sapindales; Rutaceae
Description: long non-coding RNA (CSIN_LNC001009)
Source: RNAcentral
UUUGUUUUUAUGGUUUAUGUCCAAAUGUUGCUAGGGCAGUUGAUGUCAAUAAAAGAGUAUCUUCCUGGACUAACAGUCUCCUUCUGCAUUCUUAAUGUUUUAUGAAACCAAGUACUUUUUUGUGCUUUUAGUUAUUGGUAUGAUAAAAUGAGAUCUGAUUAUAUGAACAAUUCAAGGCAGAUUGCACAUUUUUAUUUAAAAUACUAGUAUUGUGCAUACAGAAAAAGAGAACUUGUGCCUAUACGGGCUUCCUAAUGAGACAUGGGAAGUUAACCUGCCUGUUGAGGAAGUGCCUCCCGAGCUCCCUGAACCAGCGUUAGGUAUAAACUUUGCUAGAGAUGGAAUGCAGGAGAAGGACUGGUUAUCACUGGUUGCAGUGCACAGUGAUUCAUGGUUGCUUGCUGUAGCUUUUUAUUUUGGUGCACGCUUUGGAUUUGGCAAAAAUGAAAGGUAUUUUCUCUUUCAUGCCCAUUUACCUGCAUUUGCUGUAAUCUCCAGAGCCUUAGCAUUAGUAUCUGCUUUUUGGUAUCAUAUUGUUAGUUCUUAGUCCUGUCUCAUAGUUCUGCCACUGCUUUUCAACAUUACAAGAUGAUAAAGGGGAUAUGCAUAGAUAUAUCAUUAAAUUUUAUGGUUGAGAUUGUUUCAAUUGAAAGAUCAAGGCAGUAAGUCCAGGGGAGAGUAAAAAUAUAUGUUUGAUUAUUUCACUUAUUUUUGUAAGAAUAUAUGUUUGAUCAUUCCACAUAUUUAUCUUUUAUAAUGCUAAUUGGUGAUGAUUUGUCUUCUCUCAUAUUUGUAUUUAUAACUAUUUAUUGGUAACUUGAUCUACCAAUAUUAAGUUUAACAAGUCCAAUAAUGUUGUCUUGACAAUAAUUUAUGAUUGGUUAUUCUGUGGUCAACAAUUUAAGGUCAAGGCUUUUGUUUUAUACAUUCUGGACCAUUUUUUGCUGCUAGAGCUCGUCUGUCGUCUUGUAAAAUUCGGUUUGAACCACCUUGGUUACUAUGUUUCAUUCAUCUCAUUCAUGCUACAAAGUCAUAUGAUCAACUGUAUGACAUAUGAUGUUUGACAACCUAUGCAUUCAAGUUGUCAUUAACGAAAGGAAGUUUAUGGUCUCCGACAAAGUCUUGACUCAUUCAGCCGGUUGACACUGCUCAAUGGAAUGUUAAUAAUCUAAUUGGGUAUCAUAGAUUUCUUGAACAAAAGACAUAGUAGGAGUAACUGAACAAUAUACUAUGGAACUAUUGUUGAAGUUAUACAUGAUAUGGAAAACCUGCGAUGCUAUGCUUGACCAGGAAGUUUAAUAAAGUCAAGAUGAAUGUCUGGUUCUAAUUUUUCUUGGAAUUGGAUCUUGCAGGAAGAAACUUUUCCAGAUGAUAAAUGAUCUCCCGACCAUCUUUGAAGUUGUAACAGGAAAUGCUAAGCAACCAAAGGACCCUUAUUUGUUGAAUCCAUUCUCCGGUUCCCGGAUUCUGCGGAACUUUUCCGGACGUUGUGGGUCGUCAUGGCGAUGGCUACAACGUAAUUUGAAGUUGAUCACGAAGAUAUAAAUGGCUGUAGCACCGACGCGUUUCACGACAAUCAAGGAAAUCAAAGAUUGUUUCUUCCAUAAGUCCAUUCUGUCGGGGAGUCCCUACUUUCAGGAUAAUGACAAUGUAGUUGUAGCCAUCUACAAUGAUAGAUCAAAGUGGUUCAAUAUUUCAAGGCCAAGAACAUUAUUGUUACUGCUAUGGCGAUGUUAUUUGAGUAUCUCAAAAUGGUGCUAGUACUGUUUAUGCAUUAUCACUAAGUCCCGGUACAGGAUGGUCCAUUUGAAGAAUGGGAUUUCAAGAAAUUACAGAAUGAUUAUAAUGCUCCUCCUGUAAAAAUAAUGGGUUUGAAUUUGAAGCCAUCAUUUCCAAACUCAUGGGAUGUAGAUACCAAGCCAUGUCAUGUGGCUGUAAACUCAUACUUGGUAGAAUCUAAGUCGUAGGAUAUUUUGUUUCUUUUUAUUUUGUUUAUAGCCUCAAAUUCCCUUAUUUGUUUACGAUGAAUCAAAUUUUUGAAAUAUAAAAUUUAGAUAAAAUAAUUAAAUAAAAAAUAAUUUAAUUUAUAUAAUAAAAAAUAAAAUUUAAUUAAAUCAUAUUUUCUUUUUUUUUUUCUAGGAAAAAAAGUGUACAAAUGUAUGUGAGCAUAUAUUAUUGAUAAGUAACACUAUCCAUCAAAAAAUUUAUCCAAAACUUUUCAUCCAAAGCAAUGUAAAAGACGGCAUUGGUGUAGAGUGUGUAAAAAAUCAACUUAAAACUUUGAGAAAAAUUUUUAUAUACAUCACAUGACAUAAUCUUCUCAUUUUUGCUACAAUUUUUGCAAUGAUUUUUGGAAUAAGUGCACUCUUCUUAUCACCCAAAUAUACAGUAAGAACACUUCAAUGUAUUAGUUUCAAUUUAAUUUAAGCUCAGUUAUUGAAUUGCUCAUUCAAUAAGCAUUCUUCAUGUUAUAUGCUUAAUUUGAAGAUUCGAAUCUUCACUAUCUUUAUCACGAAAUUUUUGAGUCUCACAUGUAUACUGUUGUGCGCGGAAUGCGGAAUCAAGCGCACCAAAUAAUUACUGAAAAAUAAAGGACACAAGAAUUUACGUGGUUCAGUAAUUAAACUUACAUCCACGGAGGCAAGAAAGAAUAAUUGUUUAUUUAACAAUUAAUAGAAUACAAUAUUUGAGUAACGAAUCUCACUUCCCAGAAACCCAAAUAUAUCCAGUACUCUCACACUCUGCAAGAAAAAUAAAUUUCCCAGACACACUUCUCUCACUUCUCUCAAAAGCUUAGAAACUUAUAAGCUUAACAAUUUUUGGGAUGAUUUCAAAUGAAUGAAAUCCUUAGCUAUUUAUAGGAGAAAUGAAUUACUAUGCAAAGAAUAAAAUAAUUAAAAAUAUAAUAAAUUAUUAUUAUUAUUUUCAAAUCCAUCCCCUUUUUCCAUUCUUUCUUUUCGGCUUACAAAACCAAAUUAGAUUUUGCUUCUCCAAAGCUUGCAUGCUAGCUGUUGCAAAGUUGGCAUUGGCUUCUGACUUUUCAACAUAUAUCACAUAAUUUCACUACCUAAGUAUCUUAAAAGUAAAUCGGAUUCAUGAUUUAAUUAUGAUUUAAUAUCUAUAUAAUAUGAUGCAUGAUAAAUGAACUACUUUUUCAAAGUCCCAUAUAAAAAUUGUUAAGGGUGAUCUCAAUUUCUAAAUUAGCAAUCAUUGAAUUUUAAUUUUCUCUUACAUUUUCUUUUAAUGUAUUUUUAUUUUGUCAGUUGAUGGUAGGGAUGAGAAUGGGGAGGCGAGUGAUUGACAUCCUAGUACCCAUCCACAAUGUUCUGCUUAAGUAUGUGUACUUCCUCAUGUCCCCGUUAUAAAAAUGUAAAUAUCUGAGGGGAGGGAAUAACAUUUCCGUCCAACUCAAUUAAUAUCAUUGAUAUUAUACAAUAAUCCAUACGUGAUUUGUCCACAACACACGAAUAUUAAAAUAAACGACUGCGAAUUAAAAUAUUUCGUCAAAUUAAGUUAAUAGUAUCAAUAUUACAACGUAAUUAAUAUGUGAUUCGUCCACUACAAAAAAAAGUGGUAUUUGUCUAUAGGGAAAUUAUCACCGGUAUACCUUUAAGUGACACCAAUAUCAAACGUGAUACAACACUUUUCAAGUGCAUCACUCGUAUACCCUAAGUUGACAAAACACUUCUACCGUCCACCUUUCCGUUAACUGCCGUUAAGAACUUAACGGAAUUUGAGCAAAAUGACUAUUUUACCCUUUAAACUCAAAAUGAGGUAAAAAAAUAAUUUUUCCUUGAAAAUUAAUGUAAAUUUUCAAUACACAAUUUUUUUUAAUUUUGUUAUUAACAAUACAUUUUUUAAUUAAAAAAAUAAAUUAUUAAUGGUACAUAUUAUUAACAAUUAUUCAUAAAAAAUAUUCAUCUUAUACCAUAAAAAUCAUUAACAACAUAUUAUUUAUAAUUAUACAUAUUAUAUCAUAAAAAAUUCAAGGUGGAGCUUGGAGGAGUAGAUCUUCAAUAAUUUAGGUUAAAUUUUGGAGGAGUAGAUUCGGUUGUAAAGUAAUUUUUUUUUUUUAGCAAUUAUUAACAAUUAUCUGAUAAAUGGGAUGACAUGUCAUUUUUAUCAAAAUAUAGCAUAUGACAUGUCGUUUUUUACUAUGUAAAUGAGAUGACAUGUCGUUUUUUUAAAAAGACUAGAUUACCCUUAUGAUGUCAGCGCUCACAAACGGCAGUUAACGGAUCGGUGGACGGUAGAAGUGUUUUGUCAACUUAGGGUAUAUGAGUGAUGCACUUGAAAAGUGUUGUAGCACGUUUGAUACUGGUGUCAUUUAAGGGUAUAUGGUUGAUAAUUUCCCUUGUCUAUAUAACAGAAGCAGUGACAAAUUUUAUUCUUGUCUUUACAUUAUUUUUAUAAAUAUUAUGAUUUUUUUUGUUUAUAUAUUUUAAAUGUAUUUUAUUAAAGUUAUGGAAAAAUAUAAUAAAAGUUAAAAGGAUUUGGAUCCUCUCUUUUUAAUCUUAUUUUUUCUAAGAUUAAUUUUGUAGGAGAUUAUAAUAUUUGUCAAUUACGUAGAAAAUUUUCCAUUUUAAACGCCAAAACACAUCGUUUAGUAACUAAUAACUAUAAUCCUAAAACUAAUGGGAGUUUAAUUUUAACGUUCGACUUUUUUUUUCCCCAUUUUCUUUACACAUUUUGUAGCCUCUUUCAUCUCUCACUGCUUCUUCAAAACCAGAAACUUAAUUUGGUAAUGAAGAAUUCCACCAAUUAAAAAAAAAAGGCAGGUUAAUUUUAUUUUCUUUUUUUUCAAAUUUGGAGCUCUCUCGUUUCUCAUCUCAGUUCUCUUCUGUUGGAGAAUUUAUGAACCGUAGGAUUUCAACAAUGAAAGAAAACAGAAAAAAGGAGGGGAAAGUAAUCAUAGAUAACUAUAAUUGAAAUAAACAAGAGCAAACUUCUAUUUAUAUUGAACUUAUAUGUAUAACCAUAUUCCAAUGAGAAUUUUAUAUUUUCAAAAUUGAUUUAAUUUUGAUAUUUGUUUCAAAAUAUUUUUAAUUGUGAUCAUUGUACUAAAAUCAAAUGCAAAAUAAGAAAAGAGUGGUUUAAAUAAUAAUGGCACGGGAGAGUUUACAUUUGUGAAGAAGAAAUAGGAGAUAAGAUGGUAGACAAGGAAAAGAGAAGAGAUGACAUAAUUUAGGGUUAACAUAUGAUAGUUGCUAAUUAUUUUAUUUUAGUUAUUCAUUAAAUCGAUAUAUGGCGUUUAGGAAGAAAAAAUUAAAAGUAAAUUAAAUCUUACCCCUAGAUACACUUAAAUGGCAAGUGUCAUGAUCUCCCAUAAAUCUUGGGAAAAAUUAGAUUAGAAAUAGAAGUAAAAACAAUGAAAAUAGAGAGGAGAUAAAGAUUUCACCUGAUUCCCAUCAUUUAUUCGAAUAAAAAAUAAAUAUUAGAUUGUAAUUAUCCCCUGAUUGAAUAAAAAAUUAGAUAUCAAAUUAUACCCAUCUACUCCCCAAAUGAAAAUAAUCCCCAAAGAUCCGAUCCCCUUAGUAAUUUUUGACAUCCCUAAUUGGUGGUUUGCCCCAUGAUACAUGUAUCCUUGACAAAAAUAAAUAAAUAGAUGACAUACUAGUCAUGUCGUCAGGCUAUAUUACAUAAGUUUGUUGGUGAAAAGCACAUGCACGAAUUAAAUCGGUUAGCUCAAAACAACAUACUCAAAUAUGUAAUUGAAAAACAUAACAUGAUUUUCUCCAUAGACUUCAUUAUUUCAAAAUUUACAUUGCAAUAAUAAUUUGGGUUCUAUUAAUUUGAAUUAGUUUUACGGUGGAAACACUGACGAUGACUGCAUAGUCAUAAAAAUAAAUAUUACAUAUAUAUUUAUUAUUAUAAUUUAAUGGUUAACAUAUUUAUUCAACUGAAAGUGCUGGUCCAAUUUAACUACAACCAAAUAUUUUAUAAGAAAUUCUUAAAUUACAUUUAAUAUACCUUACAUCCACUCACAUGAACAAUAUAUAGUGUAAAACACACUUGUUAAUAUAACUUUACAUUUACCUAUUUUAUAUGACCAGUAUUACGUUACGUUAAUCGUAACGUACACCACACACAACAACAAUAACAGGUCCCACUAUAAGUAUUUUUACUGUGUGUGAAUGUACGUUAGGGGCUCCCAUUUUAUAUAUCUUACAUUCAAGUUACAAGUUUUACUUUUACUAGAGCUGGCAAAAUUUGACACGACCCGAUUACCCGACACGAACACGACAUAAAUAAAUGGGUAUGGGUCGUCAAAUUUAACACGAUUAUUAAAUGGGUCGGGUUCGGGUCAACACGAUUUUUUUCCGUGUCGGGUUUGGGUUAAAAUUCUUGACCCAUUUACCCGAUCAAUGGCCCGAUUAUAUUUUCUAUUUUAAAAUAAUUUACAUAUUCUUAUAAUUAAAACUCAAAUAUUAGAGAUGAUUUUCUUAAUUAAAACCUCAAUAGUGUAAAUGUGUAAUAUAUUGGUAGAUAUGUAUAUUUUAUAAUAUCGAUAAAUUAUGUAUGUAUGUAUGUAUGUAUGUAUGUAUUUAUGUACAUAUGUAUGUAUGAUAGUGUGUAAAUAUUUGAUGUAACUUUUAUUCAAUAUAUAGAUAUUAAACGGGUUAUUGGGUAACCCGAUUAUUUUUCCGUGUCGGGUUUGGGUCUCAAUAUUUUGACACGAUUAUUAAAUGGGUCGGAUUUGGGUCGACCUAAAUUUGACACGACACGAAGCUGACACGACACGAACACGAUCCGAUGACCCGUUUUGCCAGCUCUAACUUUUACACUUAGGCACAAAAUUUUAAGUUUUCAAUCAUUGCUUAAGUGGUAAAGACCUAAAAGGGUAAUAUUGUCCAAAACCUUUGUUUACAGUUUCCUCCAAUGGUAGGCGUUUCUAUUGGUCAUACUUUUGAUGUUUUGUGCAGAAAAAUACACUCCAAAAUGUAACACAGACGUCAAUACAAGCCCCCGUUUUAUUCAAUUUUAAAAAACAAUUAGAAUUACCCUAUGACCCCGAAGUGAGUCCCCCUAAAUGGACAAAUAAGAAAUAACAUAACAUAAACCCUUAAUAAAAACCUUUUAAAAAAAAUUAACAAAUAAUAUUAUUAUUAUUAUUGUUAUAACUUGGCAAUUUUCCCCAACUCGCUAUCUUUUAUGCACACAAAUCUCUAACCCAAACUCAAACCCAAAAUUGUCUCUUGCCUCUCUCUUUCUCUUUCUCUUUCUCUUUCUCUUUCCUUUUUCUCUUCUGGGUCUCUUCUGUUUUCUGUUGUCUAAUUACAAAUUCAAUUCAAUUAAUUCAAACAGAUAAUGAAAAGCAAAACACGUUAAAAAAAGAAGCCCUUUUUUACCACCAAAUCGGGAAACGGACGAAAACCCUAACUGAGGCUUCUAUCGUCAAAGCUUCCUUUUCUGUUCAAAUUUAACUCUUUUUGUUCAAUACUCGAAACCCAUUUGCUAGAAUUUCAAGAUAAUUGUUGACAAAUUAGUUAAUUUUGCUUGCUAUGGAAGCGAUACCGCACCCUAUACCUAGAACUGUAGAGGAGGUUUUCAGCGAUUUUAAGGGCAGACGGGCUGGCUUGAUUAAGGCUUUAACAGCUGGUAAUGGCCUAAUAUUUUCUUCUCUUUUUCUUUGAAUUUAAUUAAUGGGUUUGUUCUAUUUUAGCUUAUGAUUAUUAGUUUUAAUUUUAAUUUUAAUUUUAAUUUUCUGGGUUGUUGCAGAUGUUGAGAAGUUCUACCAGCAGUGCGAUCCUGGUGGGUUUUUCUUUUCCAUACAUCUUUUUUGUUUAUUUAAUUGCAAUUGGACUUUGUUUUUUCCUUCUUCUUUUUUCUAUAUUUUUUGUAUUAUAUUGACUGAAUGACCAGGUAUUUAAUAAUCAGUAUGUGUUAUAUAUAGCUCUGUUUCAUGUAUAAGAGAGGCAAAUUAUGUUAUAGAAGCCAACUCGUUUAUUUUUUCAGUUGGAAGAAUUUUAAUGGAGACAAUGUCUGUGAUAUGAAUUAACUAAGUUCAUGCUUGUCUGAGUGUUUUGAGAUUGUACAAAGUCCAUGAUUUGUCUUUAAUUCAAGAUGAAAUGCUUGUUUUAAGGUAGUUUUGCUUGUUGUAGCACUUGGAGGCUUACAUUUUUUUUUGGUUCACUUACACGGUUAGUUUCUGUUUUAUUCAUGAAUUUCUGUGCUUCCUCACUUGCAUCGUCAAUAACUCCUUCCAUGAUGUUAUCUUCUGUAAACACACUUCUGUUUGCCUUUCACUAGUUUGAAGGACAUUUUUCAUUGAAAGAUCCAAAUGAAUUGAAAUUGCUGCUAUAAUGUAUUUGCUUUGCUGCUAAAGCAGGUCUAUGUAAAUAAACUAGAACUUGAAAAGUCUUAAAGUGUUGUUGUACCCAUAUACUUCAGUCCAGCUGGCUUCCUAGCUGCAGAAAAUCUCAAGCUUUUUUAUUCUUGACUGUCAGGUUCUUUUUUUUUUUUUUUUUUGUUGAAAAAUCCAAAAUUCUAGUGGUAUUUAUUUAUAUAUUUUUGGAUUGAUGCGCCUAUGUUUGUUGGAAGUGUGUUGUUAUCUUCUGUUGAGUCCUUGGCAUUUAUGUUUAUGCAGUUGUCCGUAUUUUUUUCUCGAGUUAUGUGGUAUCUGUUAUCAUAUUAAUUUUGAUUGUCUUUUUCUCAAGUUAUUUUGUAUACAUUUUAUUGUUUCUUUUAGUAGGCAUCGAUAUUUUCACUUUAGCCUUCCUACUUUCAUAUAUCAGCUGGAGUGGAAAGAUUGAAAGAUUAGUUUGGUUCACUUUUACAAUGAGCCACAUGUUAUUACAACACUGCAUCAUUUCGACCAAAUAGGGAAACUGCGACACAAGAAGAAUGCCCAUUGGAAAAUAGGGAUCGUGCAGCUGGCUGAUAGCAGAAAAUUCCUGAAUUCUUGGUGAUAGUGAUUAUUUAUGUUGGACUCCUGCUCUUAUGUCUGUGGAUCUGCCCACUAUUUUCAGUUUGAUCCUUCAAUCUAAUUUCCUUAUGGUUGUAUGUUUAUUGACUUAUAUUCUGUCAUGGUAUUAUGAUUUGAUAUCCUUUUCUUAUCAGGCGAGUUGGCUAACAUGAAGUUCACUUUACUAUUUUCGUCAAUGUUUAUUGGAGUGCAAAGCUUCGCCAUAUAGUGUGGUUUGUGACUGUUGUGUUGUCUAAUAUGUUGCCUUAUCUUCUUUUUGACUUGUUUGUAAAAAAUUAGAACUCUAAUUCUAAUUGUCAUUAUGUUUGGCUGCUAUACUCUAUGUUCACAGUCAAAUGUCAUCCCUUUUUCGUUUGUUUUUAUGGUUUAUGUCCAAAUGUUGCUAGAGCAGUUGAUGUCAAUAAAAGAGUAUCUUCCUGGACUAACAGUCUCCUUCUGCAUUCUUAAUGUUUUAUGAAACCAAGUACUUUUUUGUGCUUUUAGUUAUUGGUAUGAUAAAAUGAGAUCUGAUUAUAUGAACAAUUCAAGGCAGAUUGCACAUUUUUAUUUAAAAUACUAGUAUUGUGCAUACAGAAAAAGAGAACUUGUGCCUAUACGGGCUUCCUAAUGAGACAUGGGAAGUUAACCUGCCUGUUGAGGAAGUGCCUCCCGAGCUCCCUGAGCCAGCGUUAGGUAUAAACUUUGCUAGAGAUGGAAUGC